Molecule: long non-coding RNA, 1020 nt
Organism: Lemur catta (Ring-tailed lemur)
Lineage: Eukaryota; Metazoa; Chordata; Mammalia; Primates; Lemuridae
Exons: 3
Source: RefSeq, a predicted model, not a curated record
CAAGCCCAGGAAAGCCGCCGUUGGUAACCGUAACUGUACCCUGCAGAUGGCGGAACACAGCUUCGCAGGUGCUUUUGAGCAUGCCUAUCAGAAACCCCCACCCGGCCCCGCCCAGCCGCCGCGCUGUUAGAGGUCAGCGUUCCGAGUGGAAAGGGUUUUCAAAAGGUGAUGGAUGGUUCAGCGCUUGAGGGCGCUGAGGUGAAUUUGAGAGUUUGGUUUCUGUCAGAUGGUGCCCAGAUGUAGACCUCAGAGAUGACUCAAGACCUCCAGAAGGAGUAGCUUGAACUUGGUACCAGAUACCGGCAUGGCCUCCUUGGGCCCCAUGACUCGAACCUUGCUCUUGGGUGGAACUGGGUUUCUUGGAGCCUCUGCAGAGUAUUGGGGGCCAGACCCCUUAGUGGGAACUGCAAGAUCUUCCUUCCAACCUCAACUUCCUUCACCCCAGCAGCUCUGGUUGAGUCCACAGGUGCCAGCCCAGCUUCAAGCUCCUGGGACGAGUGGAGCUGUCAGCAGGACAGCCUGAGGCCUGAGGCCCAGUGUGGACAUGGCAGCUAAUGGAGAUGCUCCCCCGUGGUCCUCAGCCCUGGCUGCAGAGGGACACGGCAGCUCAUGUGAGGUGAGGACAGAGAGGACCCCAGGGGCAGGAAUUCAUUCAGUGAGGAGAUACCCCUGACCUGUCCCCAGGGCCUCAGUGCAGGGACAGGUAAGUCACAGGAAAUGGCAGAUUCCGGACUUGCUGCCCCAGAAACAGAUCAGGAUUCUCCACUGAGAGUGAGCACCACAUGGCUGAUGUCACCACAUCCAGAGCCCUGUGGGUUUCAGCAGAAAAUGUGACUUGGCUGAUGGAGGAGGGGGAUGUGGAGGGUCCAGCCCCAUGGCCUAGGGGAGAGAGAGGCAGCUCCCUGCUGAUUCCAGACUCUGAAAGGUACCCUUUCACCUGUACCUUUUCACUUCCCAGCUCUGAAUUCAUAGAUUGCUUUUCUUUCCAAAAUAGAACCAAAAAAAUAAAAAACCUAGUCU